Molecule: ribosomal RNA, 497 nt
Filed under: uncultured bacterium
Lineage: Bacteria
Description: partial 16S ribosomal RNA
Rfam family: Bacterial small subunit ribosomal RNA
Source: RNAcentral
GAUGAACGCUGGCGGCGUGCCUAAUACAUGCAAGUCGAGCGAACAGACGAGGAGCUUGCUCCUCUGACGUUAGCGGCGGACGGGUGAGUAACACGUGGAUAACCUACCUAUAAGACUGGGAUAACUUCGGGAAACCGGAGCUAAUACCGGAUAAUAUAUUGAACCGCAUGGUUCAAUAGUGAAAGACGGUUUUGCUGUCACUUAUAGAUGGAUCCGCGCCGCAUUAGCUAGUUGGUAAGGUAACGGCGUACCAAGGCAGCGAUGCGUAGCCGACCUGAGAGGGUGAUCGGCCACACUGGAACUGAGACACGGUCCAGACUCCUACGGGAGGCAGCAGUAGGGAAUCUUCCGCAAUGGGCGAAAGCCUGACGGAGCAACGCCGCGUGAGUGAUGAAGGUCUUCGGAUCGUAAAACUCUGUUAUUAGGGAAGAACAAAUGUGUAAGUAACUAUGCACGUCUUGACGGUACCUAAUCAGAAAGCCACGGCUAACUACGUG